UUCGCAAUGCCCGAAAGGGUGACGAAGCGACGCCGCGUGUGGGAAGAAGGCCUUCGGGUUGUAAACCACUGUCGGGAGUUAGGAAAUGUAAGGGUGCUAAUAGUAUCCUUACUUGACUAAGGCCCCGGAGGAAGCCACGGCUAACUCUGUGCCAGCAGCUGCGGUAAUACAGAGGCGGCAAGCGUUGUUCGGAAUUAUUGGGCGUAAAGAGCACGUAGGCGGCCUUGUAAGUCAGUUGUGAAAGCCUUCUGCUUAACGGAAGAACAGCAGCUGAUACUGCAAGGCUAGAGUGCGGAAGGGGAGAGUGGAACUUCUGGUGGAGCGGUGAAAUGCGUAGAUAUCAGAAGGAACACCGGCGGCGAAGGCGACUCUCUGGUCCGUAACUGACGCUGAGUGUGCGAAAGCUAGGGGAGCAAACGGGAUUAGAUACCCCGGUAGUCCUAGCCGUAAAC
RNAcentral lists this ribosomal RNA (452 nucleotides) under uncultured bacterium. RNAcentral describes it as "bacterial SSU rRNA". It matches the Rfam family "Bacterial small subunit ribosomal RNA", at positions 365 to 807 of the family's 1533-position model. The record is from RNAcentral.